CGGCAACCACUCACAAACGCAGGUCAUAUAGUCUGCGAGAUGGCAUCGCCCUAUCACAGUGCAGGAACGCAGGUGUUCAGUGCAGAAUCUAGCGUAGGCCCGAUCUUCAUUUCAGCACAAAAUUAAAUCAAGGUAAUCCGCUAGUUAUGACAGCGCCCGAACUGAAUUGGAUCACUUGUCUCCACCAUCGCCUAUUCGAGAACAGCAGAAAUCGUUUUCAGAGUCAACCCGAGCACGUCGUCUGUUGAAGAUGCAAUACUUCACUGGGUUACAACUAAGAUACAGAACGAUUUAGAAACCCGGCCCAUAACCACACUUCAUUAUCAUCAACAAGACUGUUAGAGGAACAGAAAAGCCAAAUUCUACCACGAAUUUCCACACCAACAGAUAAAA
Zootermopsis nevadensis is the source of this 393-nucleotide long non-coding RNA. RefSeq lists it as uncharacterized. The record is from RefSeq and is a predicted model, not a curated record. Lineage: Eukaryota; Metazoa; Arthropoda; Insecta; Blattodea; Termopsidae.